Molecule: long non-coding RNA, 153 nt
Organism: Bradysia coprophila
Lineage: Eukaryota; Metazoa; Arthropoda; Insecta; Diptera; Sciaridae
Source: RefSeq, a predicted model, not a curated record
AAACUCUUUUUUUUUCUUUUUAACCUUUGUUAUGUAAUAGUAUAUUACUUAUAGCUGUCACGUUCAAUGACAUCAUAAGUUACGAUGCUACGAAAGUUGAAAAAAACCUCGUUCAUCAGCUGGUCGUCAUAAACCAAACUAUUCAAUGAACGU